UAGUCACUUUCACUGCAU
This 18-nucleotide small nuclear RNA is filed under the name Arabidopsis thaliana (thale cress). Its description in RNAcentral is "snRNA_00931". Lineage: Eukaryota; Viridiplantae; Streptophyta; Magnoliopsida; Brassicales; Brassicaceae. The record is from RNAcentral.